This 301-nucleotide ribosomal RNA is filed under the name uncultured bacterium. RNAcentral describes it as "partial 16S ribosomal RNA". It matches the Rfam family "Bacterial small subunit ribosomal RNA", at positions 509 to 807 of the family's 1533-position model. The record is from RNAcentral.
CAGCAGCCGCGGGAAUACAGAGGGGGCUAGCGUUGUUCGGAAUUACUGGGCGUAAAGCGUACGUAGGCGGCUUGGUAAGUUAGAGGUGAAAGCCUGGAGCUCAACUCCAGAAUUGCCUUUAAGACUGCCGAGCUAGCAGGUGUGAGAGGUAAGUGGAAUUCCGAGUGUAGGGGUGAAAUUCGUAGAUAUUCGGAAGAACACCAGUGGCGAAGGCGGCUUACUGGCUCAUACUGGACGCUGAGGUGCGAAAGCGUGGGGAGCAAACAGGAUUAGAUACCCGUGUAGUCCCUGUCUCUUAUAC